Molecule: ribosomal RNA, 460 nt
Filed under: uncultured bacterium
Lineage: Bacteria
Description: partial 16S ribosomal RNA
Rfam family: Bacterial small subunit ribosomal RNA
Source: RNAcentral
CCUACGGGCGGCAGCAGUGAGGAAUAUUGGUCAAUGGACGAGAGUCUGAACCAGCCAAGUAGCGUGAAGGAUGACUGCCCUAUGGGUUGUAAACUUCUUUUAUAUGGGAAUAAAAUGUUCCACGUGUGGGAUUUUGUAUGUACCAUAUGAAUAAGGAUCGGCUAACUCCGUGCCAGCAGCCGAGGUAAUACGGAGGAUCCGAGCGUUAUCCGGAUUUAUUGGGUUUAAAGGGAGCGUAGGUGGAUUGUUAAGUCAGUUGUGAAAGUUUGCGGCUCAACCGUAAAAUUGCAGUUGAAACUGGCAGUCUUGAGUACAGUAGAGGUGGGCGGAAUUCGUGGUGUAGCGGUGAAAUGCUUAGAUAUCACGAAGAACUCCGAUUGCGAAGGCAGUUCACUGGACUGCAACUGACACUGAGGCUCGAAAGUGUGGGUAUCAAACAGGAUUAGAGACCCGGGUAGUC